This 369-nucleotide ribosomal RNA is filed under the name uncultured organism. Its description in RNAcentral is "bacterial SSU rRNA". It matches the Rfam family "Bacterial small subunit ribosomal RNA", at positions 526 to 896 of the family's 1533-position model. The record is from RNAcentral.
CGUAGGGUGCAAGCGUUAAUCGGAAUUACUGGGCGUAAAGCGUGCGCAGGCGGCUUUGCAAGACAGAUGUGAAAUCCCCGGGCUCAACCUGGGAACUGCAUUUGUGACUGCAAGGCUAGAGUACGGUAGAGGGGGAUGGAAUUCCGCGUGUAGCAGUGAAAUGCGUAGAUAUGCGGAGGAACACCGAUGGCGAAGGCAAUCCCCUGGACCUGUACUGACGCUCAUGCACGAAAGCGUGGGGAGCAAACAGGAUUAGAUACCCUGGUAGUCCACGCCCUAAACGAUGUCAACUGGUUGUUGGACGGCUGCUGUUCAGUAACGAAGCUAACGCGUGAAGUUGACCGCCUGGGGAGUACGGCCGCAAGGUUG